UACGUAGGGGGCAAGCGUUGUCCGGAAUCAUUGGGCGUAAAGCGCGUGUAGGCGGUCCGGUAAGUCCGCUGUGAAAGUCGGGGGCUCAACCCUCGGAUGCCGGUGGAUACUGUCGGGCUUGAGUACGGAAGAGGCGAGUGGAAUUCCUGGUGUAGCGGUGAAAUGCGCAGAUAUCAGGAGGAACACCGAUGGCGAAGGCAGCUCGCUGGGACGGUACUGACGCUGAGGCGCGAAAGCGUGGGGAGCAAACAGG
This 253-nucleotide ribosomal RNA is filed under the name uncultured bacterium. RNAcentral describes it as "partial 16S ribosomal RNA". It matches the Rfam family "Bacterial small subunit ribosomal RNA", at positions 524 to 776 of the family's 1533-position model. The record is from RNAcentral.